RNAcentral lists this transfer RNA (66 nucleotides) under Babras sonorivox. Its description in RNAcentral is "tRNA-Leu". The record is from RNAcentral. Lineage: Eukaryota; Metazoa; Arthropoda; Insecta; Hemiptera; Cicadidae.
GCUAUUUUGGCAGAUUAGUGUAUUAAACUUAGAAUUUAAGAAUAUGAUUUAAUAUCAUAAAUAGUA